AAUUCAUGAGCUUGAAUAAGCAUAUAUUUUGAAAAUAUAAGAUGAAAUUAUUAGUUUUAUGAAUUU
RNAcentral lists this transfer RNA (66 nucleotides) under Bradysia amoena. Its description in RNAcentral is "tRNA-Ser". The record is from RNAcentral. Lineage: Eukaryota; Metazoa; Arthropoda; Insecta; Diptera; Sciaridae.